This 468-nucleotide ribosomal RNA is filed under the name uncultured bacterium. RNAcentral's name for it is "partial 16S ribosomal RNA". It matches the Rfam family "Bacterial small subunit ribosomal RNA", at positions 28 to 507 of the family's 1533-position model. The record is from RNAcentral.
GACGAACGCUGGCGGCGUGCCUAACACAUGCAAGUCGAACGGAAAGGCCCUGCUUUUGCGGGGUGCUCGAGUGGCGCAGGGGUGUGAAACACGUGAGUAUCCCGCCCUUGACUGUGUGAUAUCUUCAGGAGACCGCGGCUAAUACCGGAUAGGAGAUCCUGAAGCAUGGGGGUCGUUGGAAAGUUUCGGCGGUGGUGGCUCGACGUGCGGCUUACCAGCUGGUUGGGUGGGUAGUUGCUUACCAAGGCUUCGACGGGUAGCCGGCCUGAGAGAGUGAACGGCGACAUUGGGACUACGAUACGCAGCAGACGCCUACGGGAGGCAGUAGUCGGGAGUAUUGCACAAUGAGGGGACGCCUGAUGCGACAGCGCCGCGUGCGGGAUGACGGCCUUCGGGUUAUAAACCGCUUUCGCCUGUGACGAAGCGUGAGUGACGGUAAUGGGUAAAGAAGCACCGGCUAACUACGUG